GGUUACGUAGUCAAUUAUGAUAUUAAAUUGCAAAUUUAAAGGUAUACCUGCUUUCGUAGCCU
This 62-nucleotide transfer RNA is filed under the name Curculionoidea sp. 23 KM-2017. RNAcentral's name for it is "tRNA-Cys". Lineage: Eukaryota; Metazoa; Arthropoda; Insecta; Coleoptera. The record is from RNAcentral.